Molecule: ribosomal RNA, 405 nt
Filed under: uncultured bacterium
Lineage: Bacteria
Description: partial 16S ribosomal RNA
Rfam family: Bacterial small subunit ribosomal RNA
Source: RNAcentral
GACGAACGCUGGCGGCGUGCUUAACACAUGCAAGUCGAGCGGAGCGGCGAACGGGUGAGUAACGCGUGAGUAACUGCCCCCCUCUCUGGGAUAACAGUUGGAAACGGCUGCUAAUACCGGAUAGUGGGGGAUGACUCGCGUCCUAUCCGCUUGUUGGUGGGGUAGUGGCCUACCAAGGCGACGACGGGUAGCCGGCCUGAGAGGGCGACCGGCCACAUUGGGCUGAGAUACGGCCCAAACUCCGAUGGGAGGCAGGAGUGGGGAGUAUUGCACAAUGGGGGAAACCCAGAUGCAGAAACGCCGCGGGCGGGAUGAUGGGCUUCGGGUUGUAAACAGAGGUCAGACAUGACGCGGUAGUGGAAGAAGAAGCACCGGCUAACUACGUGCCAGCAGCCGCGGUAAUUC